Molecule: ribosomal RNA, 248 nt
Filed under: uncultured bacterium
Lineage: Bacteria
Description: partial small subunit ribosomal RNA
Rfam family: Bacterial small subunit ribosomal RNA
Source: RNAcentral
AGGACGAACGCUGGCGGCGUGCUUAACACAUGCAAGUCGAGCGAGGGAGCUUGCUCCCUAGCGGCGAACGGGUGAGUAACACGUGGGCAACCUGCCUCUAGCUCUGGGAUAAGCCCGGGAAACUGGGUCUAAUACCGGAUACGACCACCGAAGACAUCUUCUGGUGGUGGAAAGAAUUUCGGCUAGAGAUGGGCCCGCGGCCUAUCAGCUUGUUGGUGGGGUAAUGGCCUACCAAGGCGACGACGGGU